RNAcentral lists this ribosomal RNA (623 nucleotides) under uncultured soil bacterium. Its description in RNAcentral is "bacterial SSU rRNA". It matches the Rfam family "Bacterial small subunit ribosomal RNA", at positions 34 to 648 of the family's 1533-position model. The record is from RNAcentral.
CGCUAGCGGCAGGCUUAAUACAUGCAAGUCGAGGGGCAGCAGGUCCGUAGCAAUACGGAUGCUGGCGACCGGCAAACGGGUGCGGAACACGUACACAACCUUCCUUUAAGUGGGGAAUAGCCCGGGGAAACCCGGAUUAAUACCCCGUAAUAUAAUGAGGUGGCAUCACUUUAUUAUUAUAGCUCCGGCGCUUGAAGAUGGGUGUGCGACUGAUUAGGCAGUUGGCGGGGUAACGGCCCACCAAACCUACGAUCAGUAACUGGUGUGAGAGCACGACCAGUCACACGGGCACUGAGACACGGGCCCGACUCCUACGGGAGGCAGCAGUAAGGAAUAUUGGUCAAUGGACGCAAGUCUGAACCAGCCAUGCCGCGUGGAGGAUGAAGGUCCUCUGGAUUGUAAACUUCUUUUAUCUGGGAAGAAACCCACGAAUUCUUUUGUGGUUGACGGUACCAGAUGAAUAAGCACCGGCUAACUCCGUGCCAGCAGCCGCGGUAAUACGGAGGGUGCAAGCGUUAUCCGGAUUCACUGGGUUUAAAGGGUGCGUAGGUGGGUUGGUAAGUCAGUGGUGAAAUCUCCAGGCUUAACUUGGAAACUGCCAUUGAUACUAUCAAUCUUGAAUG